RNA transcript from Triticum aestivum (bread wheat), 985 nucleotides. RefSeq lists it as uncharacterized. NCBI's taxonomy places the organism in Eukaryota, Viridiplantae, Streptophyta, Magnoliopsida, Poales, Poaceae. The record is from RefSeq and is a predicted model, not a curated record. The transcript is spliced from 5 exons.
UCGCUGAAUGCCUUCUUCAUUUCGAAUUUUUUCUUUUCGCUUUCUCGCCCCCUCGUCUCUUCCCCUUCCUAUUUUUCCAGCGGCGGAUACCUCGGUGAGUUGGAGAUCUGGAGUCAUGGCGAUUUUGAUUGGGAGUUCUCCUUCGAUGCUCGCUUGAGGGCUUGGUGGUUGGUGGUCAGGUGUCCAGCGCUCUCCCAUCAGUUGCGCCGCCGCAUCUCCCGGCCGAGGUUUCUUACCUUGACCGUGUGCACUCUGGGUUGAAUUCUCUUCCUGACAGCAAGCCUAGAAUUCUGGUAUGGAGAGGUAACAAAGUUAAGGAUUUCUCGGAAUUACAUAAGAGCAACAGUCGUUCGUAUGGCAAGAGGCCGUUGAAGCGUUUAUCACCAUCAGUUUACGCACAGAAGUCUUGUGAAAAGUUUUCAUGUUCAGUAACCUAUAGUAUCCCCUUUGCCAAUAAGAUUUCAACAUCAGAAGUUCAUGCUCCAGCUGUUGAUAAUGUCUCUUUUGCCUGUAAAGCUGAAACGGCUUAUGCUUCACGGUUUGGAAAUGAUGUUGUGCAACAAAUAGUUGGACUUGUUCAGUCUUCAAAUGCCGCUAAGCCUCAGACUUUUCAAGAUUGGUCGGAGUCCCUUGUUUCAAGAUUUAUACUGGAUUUACAGUGUCCAGUGUAAUUCUAAGUGGAUUUACACUGUAAUUCCUACUGGAUUUACACUGUAAUUCUAUGUGAAUUUACAGUGUAAUUCUUACUGGAUUUACACUGUAAUUCCUACUGGAUUUGUAGUGUCUUAGUGGAUUUGAACUAAAAUGCUUGGUGUAAUAUUUAGUGAAUUUUACAAUGUUUUACGGUGGAUUCAUAUUGGAUUUACAGUGUUUUUCUUAGUGGAUUUACAGCGGUACUUAUAGUGUAAAUCUUAUUAGGAAUAUGCAACUUGUAUUCUCAUGAGGCCAUAGGUCGAUAUAUAUGCAUGUACAGGUGUGGAACAUA